RNAcentral lists this long non-coding RNA (8198 nucleotides) under Lactuca sativa (garden lettuce). RNAcentral describes it as "long non-coding RNA (LSAT_LNC005998)". The record is from RNAcentral. Lineage: Eukaryota; Viridiplantae; Streptophyta; Magnoliopsida; Asterales; Asteraceae.
GAUUAUAAGGCUCAAAAUGUCUCAAAAUGGUAGAUCUAGGGCUAACAAGCCUCAUGAGGCCAAAAAGCUAACAGAUCUGAGCUCCUGGAGCUCAAUCUUACAUAGAUCCAAAGGCCAAACGCCUUAUUACAACAUAUAAUGAACAUGCAAACUUGGGGAAUUGACCAAGAAGGACCCAAAUGAAGUUUUAAGCAUAGAAUCAAGGGGAAAACGGGUUAUACCUCAAAGGAAAUGUUGAAAUGACACAAGGAUGGCUGAUCUCCUUCUCCUCUUCUUGAUCUACUCCUCUUACUCUUCAAAACCUUCAAGAACACACCAAGAACACCUCAAACUCUCAAGAAAACAAGGGAAAACGAUGUAGGGGGAGUUCUGGGGGUGAAUGGGGACGAGUUGGGGCGGAAUGAGAGUUUAAAUAGGGUGCAAACCCUUGAAACUUAGGGUUUCAUCCCGCAGCGGUGACUCGCCGAGUCCAGGAUAUGGACUCGUCGAGUCGCCUACUUAAAACGCGUCCUGAGUCUCGUCCCUACUCGGCGAGUCGGACCCUAUGACUCGCCGAGUCUAAGGCUAAAUUAGGGCAAUGCUCAAAUAAAAUUCACAUACCGGAAACCAGGUGCUACACAUCUCCCCCACUUAUUUUAGACUUCGUCCUCGAAGUCUGCUGCCUGAUCCUGAAACAGCUCGGGGUAGUGCUCCAUCAUCUCGUCUACCGGCUCCCAAGUCCACUCUGAACCCUUGCGGUGCUGCCAUUGCACCUUCACUAGCUCCACCCUCUUGUUCCUUAAAUCCUUCGACUUCCUGUCGAGGAUUGCGACUGGGCGCUCGAUGUAGUUCAGGCUGUCAUCAACCUGAAUAUCCUCCAAAGGUACUACUGCAGAAUCGUCCACUAGGCACUUCCGCAACUGCGAAACAUGGAAAGUGCUGUGGAUCUGGCUAAGCUCGGCUGGCAGAUCCAGCCUAUAUGCUACCUUGCCCACCCGGGCUAAGACCCUGAACGGUCCGAUGAAUCGCGGGCCCAACUUGCCCCGCUUCCUGAAUCGGAUGACGCCUUUCCACGGCGACACCUUCAGGAGGACCAUAUCCCCGACCUGGAACUCUAAAUCGGAUCGACGCUUGUCGGCAUAACUUUUCUGUCGACUCUGAGCAGUCUGAAGCCUGCUCCGGACCUGCUGUAUCCUCUCAGUCGUCUUGAGCACCACUUCGGUGCUUCCCAUAACUCUCUGGCCAACCUCACCCCAGCAUAUCGGGGUCCUACACCUCCGUCCGUACAACAUCUCGAAGGGAGGGCGGUCGAUACUCGCGUGAUAGCUGUUGUUGUAGGAGAACUCAGCCAAAGGAAGAUAGGUAUCCCAGCUACCACCGAAAUCCAGAACACACGCCCGCAACAUGUCCUCCAAAGUCUGGAUGGUCCGCUCACUCUGUCCAUCUGUCUGCGGGUGAAAGGCGGUGCUGAAAUGCAGACGAGUGCCCAACUCGUCAUGGAAUCUCUUCCAAAACCUGGAAGUAAAACGCACAUCCCUGUCCGAGAUCACCGAUACUGGCACCCCAUGCCGUGCCACAAUCUCCCUGAUAUAGAUGUCGGCCAAUUUCUCGGCCGAUAUGCUCUCCGGAAUCGGAAUAAAGUGAGCACUCUUGGUCAAUCUAUCCACGAUGACCCAAAUCGAAUCCACUCCACGCGCGGUCCUGGGAAGCUUCGUGAUAAAAUCCAUCGUGAUAUCUUCCCACUUCCACAGUGGAAUGUCCAACGGCUGCAUCUUGCCAUGCGGCCUCUGAUGUUCGGCCUUGACCUUCCUGCAGGUCAAGCACCGCUCGACGUACCAUGCCACAUCCCGCUUCAUGCAGGGCCACCAAUAGUCUAGACGAAGAUCCCUAUACAUCUUCGUCGCCCCGGGAUGAAUAGAGAAUCGGGACUUGUGCGCCUCCUCCAUCAAAAUCUGGCGCACGCCCCCGUGAUACGGCACCCACACCCUAUGGUGUAGUGUCAAUAACCCUCGGCUAUCAUAAUCGAAGGAGGAAACCUGACCUACUACGCGCUCGUUCUUCCGAUGCUCCUCCUUGAUAGCCUCCUGUUGAGCUUCCCGAAUCUGCUCCAACAGGGGAGUCACCACAGUCAUCCUCAAACAGGCGUCCCUGAUCGGCGCCGUCUUGCGGCUAAGCGCAUCGGCCACCACAUUGGCCUUUCCCGGGUGGUAAAGGAUCUCGCAAUCAUAAUCCUUCACCACAUCCAACCACCGACGCUGCCUCAUGUUCAGAUUCGGCUGGUCCAUGAGGUACCUCAAGCUCUUGUGGUCCGUGUAGAUGGUACACCGAACCCCAUAGAGGUAAUGUCGCCAAAUCUUGAGGGCAAAUACCACCGCCCCCAACUCCAAAUCGUGCGUCGGGUAGUUCGCCUCGUGAGGCUUGAGCUGCCUCGAAGCGUAAGCAAUGACAUGCCCCCUUUGCAUCAGCACCGCGCCCAACCCAGAAAUGGACGCAUCGCAAUAAACCACGAAAUCCUCUACGCCCUCUGGCAGGGCUAAGAUCGGCGCCUCACACAAUCUCUGUCUCAGCGUCUCAAAUGCAGCCUGCUGCUCGGGUCCCCACCGAAAGACCACGGCUUUCUUCGUCAGCCGCGUCAGGGGCACGGCUAUCUUGGAGAAAUCCUGGAUAAAUCUCCGAUAGUAGCCUGCCAAUCCUAGGAAGCUCCGAAUCUCAGAUGGGGACUUCGGAACCUCCCAUCUCAUCACGGCCUCGACCUUGGCCGGAUCGACCAGAAUCCCGUUCUGGUUGACGAGGUGCCCCAGAAAUUGCACCUCGCGCAACCAAAACUCACACUUGGAGAACUUGGCAUACAAGCUCUCCCUCCUCAGGGUCUCUAACACCUCUCUCAAAUGCUCCUCAUGUUCCUCCCGGGUCUUGGAAUAAACCAAGAUAUCAUCGAUAAAGACUAUCACAGACCGGUCCAGCAUCGGUCUGCAUACACGGUUCAUGAGGUCCAUGAACGCGGCAGGAGCAUUGGUGAGCCCAAACGGCAUCACCACAAACUCGUAAUGGCCAUAGCGCGUCCGAAACGCGGUCUUCUGCAUAUCCUCCUCCCUGACCCUCAUCUGAUGAUAACCCGAACGCAAAUCAAUCUUGGAGAACCAAGAUGCGCCCUGAAGCUGGUCAAAGAGGUCAUCAAUCCUCGGAAGCGGGUAACGGUUCUUCACCGUUACCUUGUUCAGCUCCCGAUAAUCUAUACACAUCCGAUGCGACCCAUCCUUCUUCUUCACAAACAGAAUCGGGGCUCCCCAGGGCGAACUGCUCGGCCGAAUAAAUCCCUUGUCCAGCAGCUCCUGCAGCUGCGUAGACAACUCCUGCAUCUCGGGAGGAGCCAACCGAUACGGUGCUUUGGCUAUCGGAGCCGCACCGGGAACGAGGUCAAUCCUGAACUCCACCUGUCGCUCCGGAGGUAUCCCAGGUAGUUCCUCCGGAAAAACAUCAGCAAAAUCUCGAACCACCGGGACCUCGCUCACGGUCGCCUUACCCGCCUCCCGGGUGUCCAUCACGUACGCGACAUAACCCGCGCAUCCCUGCUGAAGGUAGCGCCUAGCCCUCGCUGCUGAACAUACAGUGGGUCCACACUGCGGCCGCUCUCCAUGAAUCACUAACUCUCCCCCGCUUGGGGUCUUGACUCGCACUAGCUGCUGUGCGCAAUCUAUCACUGCCCCAUUAGGGCUCAACCAAUCCAUACCAAUAAUCACCUUGUUCCCACGCAAUGGAAUGGGAACCAAGUCUACCAGGUAACACUCCUCAAACAGUCGCAGGACACAAUCUCGAAACACCAUCGAUGCUCGCACCGAUCGAUCAUCGGCAAUCUCUACCUCUAACGGGCAAUCUAACUCGCCUGAAGUCUCAUGAAAUCUCUUGCUAAGAGCAAGAGAAACGAACGAUCGGGAUGCACCCGAGUCGAACAAUACCUGAACCGGGAUGCCGUUCACAUGGAACGAUCCUAAUACACAUGUAUACACACGGAGCACAUAUCAAUAUCAUAACAACGUAAAAUAAAAGAUAGAAGGAAGGAAUCAUACCCGUCACCACAUCGGGCGCGGCGCGUGCCUCCUCGGCAGUCAACUGAAAUGCCCGACUCCUCACCACUGGAGCCUCUGCCUUGCCCUGACGGCCAUCCGUGAUCCGCAGGGUCGCUGGAGCUGGCGCCUUCACUGGCGCUGAAGCUGUCAACAUGGGGCAAUUGGCCUUCUUGUGGCCCCUCUGGUUGCAGUGGAAACACAGCAACUCCGAUGUCUGAAUAACGGUCGCAGGAGCAGUGCAAUCCCUGCUGAUAUGCCCAAACUUGCCGCACUUGUAGCAGCCUGACGAUCCCAUCCUGCACGCCCCCUCGUGCGGCCUGCCGCACCUCCUGCAGCGGCUCGGUCCCGACUGGCCUUUCGGCCUCCCAUCUGAUCCCUUGGGCUUCUUCCCCGAAGCCCCCGAUGACUGACCAUCCUCAAGUUUCCGUUUCCGGAUGUGCUCCAAAUCUAUCUCUCUCUCCCUAGCCCUGGCAAUCAUGGAGUCCAGGGUAGGGCAAGCCGAAAAGCUAACAUGCUCCCGAAUGUCAGCUCGUAGCAUGUCGUGGUAACGAGUCCUCCUCAUAUCCUCGUCACCUGCAUACUGGGGCACCAAUAAAGCCCUCUCCCGAAACUUGGCGGUGAUCUCCGCCACGGUCUCUGUCGUCUGCCUCAUGUCUAAGAACUCCCUGGCCAGCUGCUGAAGCUCGACCGCUGGCGCAAACUCUGCCCUGAACCUAGUCACAAAGUCCGACCAGGUCAUUGCCUCGACAGCCGAGGCUCCCAUCGAGUCACCCACUGACUCCCACCAAUCUCGGGCCCGGUCCCGUAAACACCCUGCUGCGUACCUCACCUUCGACCCCUCGGGGCAGAAGCUGAUCAACUGGGCGGACUCGAUAUCCGCAAUCCACCGCCUGGCGACAAUGGGGUCCUUCACCCCAUGGAAAUCCGGCGCACCACUGCUCCUGAAGUCCUUGAAGGACAGUGUGCGAGAUCCUGACUGGCUAGAGGCCAAGUCGCUCCUGAAUGCCCGUAGGCGAUCCUCCAUCAUCUCCACGAUCCCUUCCUUGAUCGACCCAAAGAUGAUGGGGGUCGACUCAAGGAUGCCCCUAGUGAUCUCCGACGUGAUGAACUCACGUAGCCUCUCCUCAAUCGGCUCGGUGCCAGAUCCCGAACCUGACCCCUCUCCUGACCCGCCAUCUGUCGGUCUCGGUCGAAGUACCACCAUUCUGCAAAACAUCAAUAAUAAUCAUUAGUGGUACUGCUACUUUCUGAGGGAUCUCAACUACUUACAGGUUCCUUGGUCUCGUCUUGGCCUUCCUCGGCUCGGGUACGGAUCCUCUGCUUUCAGUAGUACGGGCCCAUACUACCUUCCACAUCUAUCCGUACCUUCUCCGAGGAAUUCCUCGACUCCACCAACUCCCCUCUACUACUGCUACUCUCCGAUAUUCUCACCCUAGGCUUGCCCUAGGGAGAACUCAAGUUCAACACAACUGGUCCUCAGCUGCUGUAGGUCUCCUCAUAAUGCCAGUUAGCCACCACCUAAACACCAUCACAUGUAAUGAGGAUUAGAUAAUCCUUCAAGUAAAAGAUCCGUCCCUACAACGGUUGGACUCAAACAAGAGCUGCGCAAUAGGGCCAGUUCCAACACUUUGGGAUUAUUCAACCCUGAUUACAUGUGGUGUGACGUGUUUACCUAGUGGCUCACUCCCAUUACUCAGAAUCCCACCGAGCACGAAGCAAGCAGCAUUCGGAUAAGGAAAAACAGACUCAAGCCAAAACUGUUCUUAGAACAAGAAACGACACUUAACAUAGGAUGCUAAGCUCAUACUAUCAGGCAUAACCUAAACAGGCUACCCUACUGCUGUCUACUCAAUUCUAGCAUGCAAUAUUCAAUAAGCUGGAACAAAUAAACAGGCACAUAAGGCAUCACUCCUAGAUCCUUAGCCUAUUCUAGCAUGCAAUAUUCAUAAAGCUGAUAAACAUAACAUAAACUUGUAUGGGUACUAUGGGGAAUACUUACUUGAGCUCGGCCGGUCGCGCACGUCACACACUUUACUCUUUCUCGUGACUCUUUUCCGGGUUUUAAAGAAUAAUUUCUUUUGGAAAAAUCUUUCAAUCCCUCGGUUUGAGUCCAAACACUCCCGAAGGCGUGUCCGAAUCCCUCAAACCAGGGCUCUGAUACCAACUUGUAACGACCCAAAUUUUAUUUUUUUUUUUUUUUGAUAUUACUUUAGAAAACAUUAAUAAAUAAAAACAUUGUCUAAAUAAAAAGAAACAUUGUUUGUUCACACCAUAACACAUUGCAACCAUGUUCUCAAAAGCCAAACCGUACAUCCCAUCAAAUAUCAGAGUACAAUCCCAGUAAAUCUCAUAAAUGCGGAAACCGAAGAGUGUGUGUAUGACGUGCCGCUACCGCGCCGGCUCCUUCCCCUUCGAUGCAGAGGUACCUGAAAACAAAACUGUAAACGUAAGCACAAAGCUUAGUGAGUUCCCCCAACGUACCGCAUACCAUACAAACACAUAACAUAUAUACUGCCAGGCUAUUCUGGGGUGCCUGACUACCCGGUACGGCCAUUCUGGGGUGCCGACCUACCCAUACGGCCAUUCUGGGGUGCCGUCUUACCCGUGUCAAGCCAUUCUGGGGUGCUGACUACCCAUCGGUCCUAACAACCGAUCCUCGGGGACUAUUUCACCCCUACUACUACGAUCACAUAUAACAUAACAAGCCAGCAUGCAUACAUAUCGUCACAUACUGUCAGACGUAUCUGGGGUGUCUGACUACCCUUCGGUCCGAACAACCAAACUCUACUACUAUCACAUACAGCAUAUCAUGCUAGCAUAUAACAUGUCAGGUACUAGCGAACUUAGAUGAUAUCACAAAGACAAUCAUCUAUCAUACAACUCCUACUGGUGGGUCGGCAUUGUGGCCUUAGACCCACCGCUACUGGAAGGUAACUCACCUCAAAGUAGCUGCUGAACUGAUCGGGAACUAACUGACUGCUGCUGCUCCGGGAGUCCUCCGGCUGCAAUUUCCACGACAUACUCAAUCAAACACUGCUAACUGUCCUUUAGGUAAAAUGACCAUUUUACCCCUGGAUUAACUCUAAGCCAAAGCUGGAGUCAACUUUCAGUUGACCCGACUCGCCGAGUGGAUCACCACUCGCCGAGUCCCUAGCAAACCAAUGUCCUGGGUCCCUGGUUCUACUCGUCGAGUCGGGCUAUGACUCGACGAGUUCACCUUCUAACUGCCAUUCAACACCUUCAUCCUACUCGCCGAGUUGUAUGAACAACUCGUCGAGUUCAUCUUCAUCCGAUGAACACUUUAUGCUAAGACUCGCCGAGUUGUAUGAACAACUCGCCGAGUCUGUUCUUGAGCUAUGAAGAUUGCCUUGGACUCGCCGAGUCAGGGCAUUGACUCGCCGAGUCCUAACAUGGGUGAGUUCAGCUCCCAACUCACCGAGUCACCCCCUGUGACUCAAGGCUCAACUCGACACAUGAAGAAGGGACCAAUUCGGUGACUCGCGACCAGACUCGCCGAGUCACCUAUGCGACUCGCCGAGUCGUCGCCAUGCACUCCUUAAAUAUACCGAUUUGCUCGGUUCCAGACCAUGCCAUUCAUAGAUCUGGACUUCUAGGACACGAAUCACACGUAAAGUUUCCAACUUUACGUGUGGAUAUUCACCAAUAUGGAUUAUAAGGCUCAAAAUGUCUCAAAAUGGUAGAUCUAGGGCUAACAAGCCUCAUGAGGCCAAAAAGCUAACAGAUCUGAGCUCCUGGAGCUCAAUCUUACAUAGAUCCAAAGGCCAAACGCAUUAUUACAACAUAUAAUGAUCAUGCAAACUUGGGGAAUUGACCAAGCAGGACCCAAAUGAAGUUUUAAGCAUAGAAUCAAGGGGAAAACGGGUUAUACCUCAAAGGAAAAGUUGAAAUGACACAAGGAUGGCUGAUCUCCUUCUCCUCUUCUUGAUCUACUCCUCUUACUCUUCAAAACCUUCAAGAAUACACCAAGAAUACCUCAACUCUCAAGGAAACAAGGGGAAAACGAUGUAGGGGGAGUUCUGGGGGUGAAUGGGGACGAGUUGGGGCGGAAUGAGAGUUUAAAUAGGGUGCAAACCCUUGAAACUUAGGGUUUCAUCCCGCAGCGGUGACUCGCCGAGUCCAGGAUAUGGACUC